GGUGUGGAUGGAGUGGAGUGGAGUGGAGUGGCGUGGAGAAGGGUAGGGUGCAGCGGAGUGAGGUCGGGUGAGGUCGGGUGAGGUGGGAUCCUCUAGAGUCGACCUGCAGGCAU
Molecule: microRNA precursor, 113 nt
Filed under: Vicugna pacos (alpaca)
Lineage: Eukaryota; Metazoa; Chordata; Mammalia; Artiodactyla; Camelidae
Description: miRNA (ENSVPAG00000016821.1)
Source: RNAcentral